AGAGAUGUGUGAUGACGCAUAUCAAUAAGCGGAGGAAAAGAAACUAACAAGGAUUCCCUUAGUAACGGCGAGUGAAGCGGGAAGAGCUCAAAUUUGAAAUCUUCAAGGUUCUACCUUGACGAAUUGUAGUUUAUAGAAGUGUUUUCUGUUAGUAGAGUGGCAAAAGUUCUUUGGAAUAGGACAUCAUAGAGGGUGAGAAUCCCGUAUUUGGUCAUUCUUUCUAGCUUUGUGAUACACUUUCAACGAGUCGGAUUGUUUGGGAAUGCAGUCCAAAAUGGGUGGUAAAUUUCAUCUAAAGCUAAAUAUUGGCGAGAGACCGAUAGCGAACAAGUACCGUGAGGGAAAGAUGAAAAGAACUUUGAAAAGAGAGUUAAACAGUACGUGAAAUUGUCAAAAGGGAAGCGUUUGACACCAGUGUUGUUUUUCCGAAAAUCAAUUACGAAUGUUUUGUUUUUGAGAAGUUAUGACUUCAUCGGCUUGCUUCUCUCUUUACGAAACUUUCUUAAUGCACUUUUCGGUUAACAAGUCAACAUCAAUUUCUUUUGUUGUAAAAGGGUAUGAGGAAGGUGGCUUUCUUUUCGGAGAAAGUGUUUAUAGCCUUGUACCUCUGCAAUCGGAGAGAUUGAGGUCUGCAGCGUAGAUCCUUCGGGGUUAGAUACAUUUGUGCUAAGUUAUAGCUUUUCAUAGACAACUUGUUGACUAUGUUAAGUCUUGUAGCUUACUCGCUUAUGCUAUUUUACCUACGCUUAGGAUGUUGACGAUCAGCUGAGCGCG
This 774-nucleotide ribosomal RNA is filed under the name uncultured Neocallimastigales. RNAcentral describes it as "partial large subunit ribosomal RNA". It matches the Rfam family "Eukaryotic large subunit ribosomal RNA", at positions 23 to 648 of the family's 3401-position model. The record is from RNAcentral. Lineage: Eukaryota; Fungi; Neocallimastigomycota; Neocallimastigomycetes; Neocallimastigales.